UGGGGUGUCGCCAAGCGGUAAGGCAUCGGAUUUUGAUUCCGACAUUCAGAGGUUCGAAUCCUCUCACCCCAG
RNAcentral lists this transfer RNA (72 nucleotides) under Oedocladium prescottii. RNAcentral describes it as "tRNA-Gln". It matches the Rfam family "tRNA". From Rfam's summary of the family: Transfer RNA (tRNA) molecules are approximately 80 nucleotides in length. Their secondary structure includes four short double-helical elements and three loops (D, anti-codon, and T loops). RNAcentral also lists the same sequence under 1 other name. The record is from RNAcentral. Lineage: Eukaryota; Viridiplantae; Chlorophyta; Chlorophyceae; Oedogoniales; Oedogoniaceae.